GACGAACGCUGGCGGCGUGCCUAAUACAUGCAAGUAGAACGCUGAAGGAGGAGCUUGCUUCUCCGGAUGAGUUGCGAACGGGUGAGUAACGCGUAGGUAACCUGCCUGGUAGCGGGGGAUAACUAUUGGAAACGAUAGCUAAUACCGCAUAACAGUAGAUAUUGCAUGAUAUCUGCUUGAAAGGUGCAAUUGCAUCACUACCAGAUGGACCUGCGUUGUAUUAGCUAGUUGGUGAGGUAACGGCUCACCAAGGCGACGAUACAUAGCCGACCUGAGAGGGGGAUCGGCCACACUGGGACUGAGACACGGCCCAGACUCCUACGGGAGGCAGCAGUAGGGAAUCUUCGGCAAUGGACGGAAGUCUGACCGAGCAACGCCGCGUGAGUGAAGAAGGAUUUCGGAUCGUAAAGCUCUGUUGUAAGGGAAGAACGAGUGUGAGAGUGGAAAGUUCACACUGUGACGGUAUCUUACCAGAAAGGGACGGCUAACUACGUG
RNAcentral lists this ribosomal RNA (495 nucleotides) under uncultured bacterium. Its description in RNAcentral is "partial 16S ribosomal RNA". It matches the Rfam family "Bacterial small subunit ribosomal RNA", at positions 28 to 507 of the family's 1533-position model. The record is from RNAcentral.